GAUGAACGCUGGCGGCGUGCCUAAUACAUGCAAGUCGAACGAACAGACGAGGAGCUUGCUCCUCUGACGAUAGCGGCGGACGGGUGAAUGACACGUGGAUAACCAGCCUAUAAGACUGGGAUAACUUCGGGAAACCGGAGCUCAUACCCGAUAAUAUCUUGAUCCGCAUUGUUCAAUGGUAAAAGACGGUUUUGCUGUCACUUAUAGAUGGCUCCGGGCCGAAUUAGCUAUUGGGUAAGGUAACGGCUUACGACGGCAACGAACCGUAGCCGACCGCAGAGGGGGAUGGGCAACCUGGGAACGGGACAACGGCCCAGACCCCAACGGGAGGCAGAAGUAGGGAAUCUUCGGAAAUGGGGGAAAGCUUGACGGAGCAACGCCGCGGGGUGGAUGAAGGUCUUCGGAUCGUAAAACUCGGUUAUUAGGGAGGACCAAAUGUGGAAGUAACUAUGCACGUCUUGACGGUACCUAAUCAGAAAGCGACGGCUAACUACGUG
RNAcentral lists this ribosomal RNA (497 nucleotides) under uncultured bacterium. RNAcentral's name for it is "partial 16S ribosomal RNA". It matches the Rfam family "Bacterial small subunit ribosomal RNA", at positions 28 to 507 of the family's 1533-position model. The record is from RNAcentral.